This 178-nucleotide ribosomal RNA is filed under the name Rhodovulum steppense. The record is from RNAcentral. Lineage: Bacteria; Pseudomonadati; Pseudomonadota; Alphaproteobacteria; Rhodobacterales; Paracoccaceae.
UUUGGUGGUCAUAGCGCGAGCAAAACACCCGGCUCCAUUCCGAACCCGGCCGUUAAGUGCCGCCGCGCCAAUGGUACUGCGUCUCAAGACGUGGGAGAGUAGGUCACCGCCAAACCUAGAAAGAGCCAAACAUAUAACUCUCUUCGAUGACAGGCCAAAAUGGCCAACAAAACAACCG